AGUUGAAUACGAAUAGUGAUGGACAAAAAGCAAAAAUGGAAUGGAGUAAAUAGCAGCCCUUUUUAACCUAACCAUCUUCAAGCUCGGUUUUGAAAAGCGAUUCCUUAAUCGAAUCUCAUGACAUAAGAAGAAUCAGAAGCUUAUUGAAAUCCACUACAGUAUUUCUAUACUUUUGAAAUUUCGCAACGUAUCACUCGCCUGUGGAUUCUUCUGUAAUGGAACCUGCACCUCAUACCAACAGUGCAUCUGAUAUCAUGCCACCUGCCAUAGGGCUCCCUCAAGUCAUUUGAUCAGCUAACCAAGAUUAUCCUGUUCACUCCAUUGCACUGUUGAAUCUCACUGCAAUCGGAUAAUUGGUUCUACAAGAUCUACAUGGAAAGCUCAACUUCGGCCACAAAAGCUACUGGAAAACAAGCAUGUCAAAGCAACUCUAUGGUUCCAAUUCUUCAAACUGAGGAAUGUCAGAUAACUUCAGAGCUACUGGAAUGAUGAUUGUUGAUCCAAAUUCAUCAGAAUGCUAUGCUUUUAUAAUGAUUGGAAGUUUGGUCCAUUACUAAGGGGAAAAAAUCAACUAAUCAAGUCACAACAAUUCUAGGUUCCGUGAUUGGAAGUUUUGGACUUGUUGCUUGUAAAUGUAGGUUUUAUUAUAUCCCUAGUUCGCAAGCAAAAGAGUUAGAAUAAUAUUUAAAUCAGGCAUGUGGAAUGUCCACUCGGUUUUUCGUAUGAAAAGUUGAAAUUUAACAUAGAAAAUUUUAGUAAAAAAACUUUGGGAGGGAUGAGCAAGAUAAGUUUUUUAAGGGACUCUUGAGGAUGGCUCAAACAUUCACCAAUCACCAUGUAAAUUUAGUUAAGCUUAGAGGUUUUUGUGGUUGGAAAUCACGGUUUGUUGUGUAUGAAAUCAUAAGUAACAAAUGAUUAGAUUGGUGUAUCUAUCAUAGAGAAAGGGAAUAUAGAAAGAAAAUCAUUCUUUAUAUAGCCAAAGGUUUAACAUGUAUAUAUGAAGAUUGUGGGCAAAAAUCACCCCCUUACUGCUAACCUCAAAACAUACUCCUAGACAUCGACCUCAAUGCAUUUUAACUGCUUUCUAAGAAUGAAAAGACAAGCAUUUAAAGUAUCCAUCGGAAAGAUACACAAGAACCUCAAUCUAACUCACCUUGGAGCUGAUAGGAUAGUAGGCAACAUUGGUUGUGAUCUCUUGAGCUUAGACAAUCCAAAAUCCGAUACUUUGGCAUUGAAAUCUUCAUCUGGGAGUAUGUUUUGAGGUUUAAUAUCGAGGUGGAUGAUUUUUUGCCUACAAUCUUCAUGAAGAUAUGUUAAACCUUUAACUAUAUCAAGAAUAAUUUUCUUUCUACAUUUCCAUUCAAGAACCUGCUUCCGGUCUCCAUAGUAGAUCCACUGGUCUAAUGAUCCGUUACUCAUGAAUUCAUACACGAGAAGUCAUUGUGAUCUCUGAGCACAGAAUCCUCUAAGUUGAACUAGAUUCACGUGGUGAAUCCUGCCAAUGGACUCAACCUCAACAUGCACAAGACCUUGAAAGACAUUUUACUGCAAUAUUUGAGCCAUCUUUGAGAGUCCCUUCUAAAACUGAUCCAAAUCCCCCCUCCCCAAGCUUUUUACUGAAAUUUUCUGUGGCUGUUUUUAGUUCUUCAUGGGAAAACCAAGUGGGCAUUCCUGAAACUUGAUCUAGAUACUCUUCUUCACUUUCACUAUCCAUACUUUCUUUUGAACUAUGAAUUUAGUAAAAACCUACGACCACAAUAACAAGUAUAAGACUUCCAAUUGUGGAACCGAGAACUAUUGCAACGUUAGUUUUUCUCUUUGGUGAUCGACCAUGAGCUCGGGGUAUAGACGAAGGAGUUGAACUUACAUUAUGUACUUUUAUAAAAACCGAAAUAUUGUGUGGAACUGGAAGUAUGCCUGCAUCAUGACUCGUCAUUGUAAAAAGCUCAGAAGGUAAAUAGCAAUCCCUCUUGUUGAAUUUGAACAAGAGUCAAAUAGGAAUGAUGGAGGUAUAUCGAUCACACUAUAAACAAACUUUUUGAGUAAAGUACAAAUUUGGUCCAUGUGGUAUACCAUUUGUUAUGAACUAGUGGUGAACCCUCCUGUGAUGCUGCGGAAAUUGUGUAUUUACAGUAGGCAUGAAAUAAUAUGCAUUAUGAUUAUAUUUAGUUGUAAAGAGUUAAUUAAGAACUUCAAAAAAGAUUUAAUGUCACGAGAAGAAAAUUAAUUUGUAACAUCAGUAAGUAAAGUGCCUGUAUGCACAAUCCAAGCAAGUGAGAAAUCUGUUUCUUUCGAGUGUUUAAUUAUUAAUGAAUAACGAUAAUGAUUAUCAAUUAUUUAUUGGUGAUUGUGAAUAUAUUAAUCUUUGAUAAUUUCGUUGUUUCCGUUUGACUUGUUUUGUAUUACCUUUGACAUAAAAGAUUUUACUUUAUUACCUAUAGAAGUUUAAAAUACAGGUUUGAUAUUGUUCUUAGGGAGUUCAAAAUGCCAUGAAAAAACAAACAAAAAAUAACAGAUUAGGUGCUUUUGUUUUUAUAAUCAUUAUUGUAUAUAAUAAAAAUGUUGCCAAAAAUAUAUAUUUAGAAGCAAAAAAAAAUCAUUUUGAAGGGCCUUUUUUUUCCCGACUAUCUGGGUCCUCAAACGAAAUUACAUAUCAUAAUGAUAAACUAUUAUAAAUUAGUAACAAAAACCUUGUAUAUUAAGAACGACAGAUGUGACUUUCAUAAUAAAACGUAUGUAAAAAUGAUUACGUUGAACACAGUGCAAAAAAAAGUCGAUAAAUCUUACAAAUCACACUUCAACAAAUGACAACCAAUAAAAAAAAUUGUUAUCAUCUUUCUAUCAAUAAUUUCUCCCUCUAACUCACUACCGAAAACCAAAUAUGAGAUUCUUAAAACGUAUGUAUAGAUUAGCAAAUCAAAUUAUACCAACUCACCAUUUUAUUUGCCCCCGUAAUUUAUCAAGAAAUGUGGUUAGGGAUCAGGGGUACGUAUAUAAAUAUAUAUAUAUAACUACAUACAAUACAAUCAUCAACAACAAAUAAAAACCUUUCACCUAAUCUCAACCCCAUCUUUAGAUAAUCAAAAGGUAAAACCUUUAUUAAUUCCCUCUUAAUAUAUAUCUCCAAUUUUACCCUUCAAUAUCGGCGUCCUUCAUGUCUCAUACUCUUGCUCCCAUAAAAGACUGCAAAACGUAACCAAAUAAAAAAUCAACAAUCGUAUACAUAUAAUGGAGGGCGUUUUGGACAUUAUAUACCUUGAUUCCAGGUGGAGUGUUUCCGGGUUUAGAUGUUGUUGUGCUACUGAAGAGGCUGAUUCCGGAGUUGAAUUUUGACUUUUUUUCAGCGGGUUUUAGGAUUUGAAAUGAACACAUAAGAGUCUCAUCAACACUCAUCAUUGCUCCAGCAUUAUCAAAUUCUCCACAGUAGU
This is a long non-coding RNA of Lactuca sativa (garden lettuce), 3428 nucleotides long. RefSeq lists it as uncharacterized. NCBI's taxonomy places the organism in Eukaryota, Viridiplantae, Streptophyta, Magnoliopsida, Asterales, Asteraceae. The record is from RefSeq and is a predicted model, not a curated record.